GAGAUGGAGAUGAGAGCAGAGCAGAAUUCCAGUUAGCUUUCGUUUGGAAAGGGUAUUUACAGGUUUUCACAGUUCAACAACAAUUCAAAAGCGCGCUACAUGCUGAUAAAUAAUAAUAAAAUAAUACAAAUAAUUAGUUCAUUCUAAUAAUAGAAUACUUGCAGCGUUAGUAUUAGUAAAUGUUUCAACUAAAUAGAUAAGAAACGAAAAAACUAAAGAAUUACUAACAUAUUUUUGUGCAAUAAAUUGUUAGGCGUUUUGUUUUGUUUGUGUUUUUGGUUUUGUUUACAGUUUUUCAGGAGCGACAAAAGAGAGUGUAAAAUGGUUGAAAGUUCCACAAGCGGAACCAUACCCUAAAUCCUAAACGUUUAAGCCUUCCAGUGGAGAGCAGGUGUAGCUAUAGCUGCACUUUCCACGCCAGCGCAUGUGAAGAGCUCUAACGGCGGUUGCCCCCACCCCCUUCCACUCGAUUUGAUUGAAUGCGAAUGUCAACCACAAACGAGAUCACAUGAAUACUGAGAGCAACACAGCAAUAGCAACAAAAAUGCAG
This is a long non-coding RNA of Drosophila guanche, 550 nucleotides long. RefSeq lists it as uncharacterized. NCBI's taxonomy places the organism in Eukaryota, Metazoa, Arthropoda, Insecta, Diptera, Drosophilidae. The record is from RefSeq and is a predicted model, not a curated record. The transcript is spliced from 2 exons.